This 492-nucleotide ribosomal RNA is filed under the name uncultured bacterium. Its description in RNAcentral is "partial 16S ribosomal RNA". It matches the Rfam family "Bacterial small subunit ribosomal RNA", at positions 29 to 507 of the family's 1533-position model. The record is from RNAcentral.
AGUGAACGCUGGCGGUAGGCCUAACACAUGCAAGUCGAACGGCAGCACAGUAAGAGCUUGCUCUUACGGGUGGCGAGUGGCGGACGGGUGAGGAAUACAUCGGAAUCUACUUUUUCGUGGGGGAUAACGUAGGGAAACUUACGCUAAUACCGCAUACGACCUACGGGUGAAAGCAGGGGUUCUUCGGACCUUGCGCGAUUGAAUGAGCCGAUGUCGGAUUAGCUAGUUGGCGGGGUAUAGGCCCACCAAGGCGACGAUCCGUAGCUGGUCUGAGAGGAUGAUCAGCCACACUGGAACUGAGACACGGUCCAGACUCCUACGGGAGGCAGCAGUGGGGAAUAUUGGACAAUGGGCGCAAGCCUGAUCCAGCCAUACCGCGUGGGUGAAGAAGGCCUUCGGGUUGUAAAGCCCUUUUGUUGGGAAAGAAAAGCAGCAGGUUAAUACCCCGCUGUUCUGACGGUACCCAAAGAAUAAGCACCGGCUAACUUCGUG